UACAGAGGGUGCAAACGUUGCUCGGAAUCACUGGGCGUAAAGGGCGUGUAGGCGGGUAUUUAAGUCGGGCGUGAAAUCCCUAGGCUCAACCUAGGAACUGCACUCGAAACUGCGUUUCUUGAGUACCGGAGAGGAAAGCGGAAUUCCUGGUGUAGAGGUGAAAUUCGUAGAUAUCAGGAGGAACACCAGUGGCGAAGGCGGCUUUCUGGACGGUAACUGACGCUGAGACGCGAAAGCGUGGGGAGCAAACAGG
This 253-nucleotide ribosomal RNA is filed under the name uncultured bacterium. RNAcentral describes it as "partial 16S ribosomal RNA". It matches the Rfam family "Bacterial small subunit ribosomal RNA", at positions 524 to 776 of the family's 1533-position model. The record is from RNAcentral.